CUGCCAGCCUCAGCCUCCCAAAGUGCUAGGAUUACAGGCAUGAGCCACCGCGCCCAGCCAAAAUAGUUUCUUUAACAUAACCAUGCUUAUACCAAUGCAGUACUAAAAUAUAAUUUGUAUAUAUUUUCAUGAAGGAAGGGACCCACAAAGGCAAGUGCCUAGGACCCACACAAAUCACAGUGUGGCUCUUGCUCCAACCAUGGGAGAAGCCACAGAAGAGCAUUCCAGGCAGAGGGCACGGCAAGUGCAAAGGUUCUGAGGUGGGAAUGAGCUGGACAUGUUUGAGAAACAGCAAGAAGGACCUCAAGUGAGGACUCUCCCCCAAGACCCCCUGUGCUCCCCCGCAAUGGACUGAAUGUUCGUCUCCUCCAAAUUCAUAUACUGAAAUCCUAACCUCCAAGGUGGAGCCUUUGGAAGGGGAUUAGGUCAGGAAGUCAGAACCCUCGUAAAUGGAAUUAGUAUCCUAAUAAAAUAGAUCCUUGAGAGCUCCUUCACUCCUUCUGCCAUGUGAAGACACAGCAAAAAGGCACCGUCUAGGAAAAGUGGGCCCUUGCCACACACCGAAUCUGCUGGCACUUUGAUCUUGGACUUUCCAGCCUCCAGAACUGUGAGAAAUCAAUUUUUAUUGUUUUCAAGCUCCCUAUUUUAUGAUAUUUUGUUGUAGCAGCUGAAACAGACUAAGACAUCCCUGAAUGAGGUUAAGAGGUUUAUUGAGUCUGCAAGCCUUUCUUCUCUACAACUUUAUCCCAGCAAGAGACUCCACACCAGGGGACUGGGUGGAGUCCCACUCUCUUUUGUUCCCCCAUCAGUUUCCAAGGUCCCUAACUCUGGCAGUCUUUAGUGAGUCCCUGCCAGAAACAGGCAGAGAUGCUCGUUCUAUAUUUUAUUUAGCCACUAAUUGCCUGCAUUUAAAAGGCAUCACAGUGCCAUCCACGUCCUCUGCUUCAUGCCCUGAUGCGUGUUUCUGCAUGAAGGGACACGGGGCAGGGGAGUGAGGGGGAGAGGGGCCACAGUCUCCCCAGUGACAGCUUUAAAAGCCUGACCCCAGUGCUGAGUGCUGGAGGAUGUCAGGUUGUCACCCUGAGAAGCGAGAGGAGGCAUGCAGGGGCUGGGGCCUCUGCAGAAAGGAGGAGAGAGGUCAGGGCCCUGGCGAGGGCCAGGAAAGAGUUGUGGGGGGGCACUCCAUGUCCCCACUCACCCCUAGGAUGAGGGCCCGGCUGAUGGAGAUCUACCCAGAAUGCCUUGUUUUCAGCUCCACUUUCCAGCCUGGAGGACUCUGCAAUAAGCAGCUGCCUGGAAAAGGGUAUGGUACGGGCCGCAGACAGUCAUGUCUGCUGCGAUCAGUAAGGAGACAGCAUUUGAGCCUUGGCUUUGCCCAAGAGCAAGAGAAGGAAGUCAGGGGAGAUGGGAGUAAGGGUUGGAAGGUGGAGGUAAAUGGAUGAGACAGGUGAUAGGUAGAUGGCAGCUAACUUUUGAGAAGGCCCCAGUAUUCUCCCUUUGGGUUUUCCACCUGCUCAGGAGAUGUACACCCUGGUAGAUGAAGAGAAAACUUGCUUCUCAUCAUUUCCCAAUCACUUCCAAGUCUAACUCAGAGCCAAAUGUAAUCUCACUCUGACACCAAGCCUCAUACCAACAGCAAACCUACAAUCAACCACAACCCUAUUGACCCACUCCUCAUCUCUAAAUCCAAGCCUCAUCCGACUACAGUUUCAACCCUAAUCCCACACUUCAUACCAAAAUCAAGCCAAAAUGCUCCAACUCAAACUCUAAGAGCAAUUAGAAUCCUAAUAUCAUUUCCAACCCCAAUCUAAUCUUAACCAAUCCAUCACUCAUCCCAGACUUCAACCCUAGUUCUUACUGUAAUAUCCAUCUCAUAGGGAAAUCCACCCCCAACUUCUUUCCCAGUCCUUAUUUCUCACCUGACCCAACCCCUUCUCCAACAACAAUUUUACCUCCUAACUGCAAUUGAUGCCAAUCACUUGCCCUGGCACUACAUCUAGCCCCUGGCUUGGCCCUGUGGCACCUAGACAAGGCUGAUUGAGGGUUAGAGGACUGCCAUCUUGAGCCAAGCCACCAAGCCAUGGGAACUUCAGGGUGGUGCCCCCCACUUUUUGAGUGCUCAAGGUCCCGGCUCUAAGUCUAGGAGUCUGGGCUCUUCCUGCUAUGUUCAGCUCCCAGCCACCGGCCCCAGUGACACCAGCCGCUGGGCCUGAGCUAAGAAGCCAUGCUUCUCCUGAAGAAUGGCAAGAAAUUAGCACUUGGCUGGGCCGCCCCAUCAUUGCUGUUCCUCACACCUUGCUGGGUAAUUUCUACAAGACCAAAGCCUGAGCCUAAUGGGCCGCCUGCUUCCAGCCCGGUGGACAACAUCAGGGAAAGCAGCCCCCAGGGUUUCUCACAGACUAAGGGGCUCUGUGCUCUGCUGAAAGGAUGGUGCUUACAGUUGUCAGGAGAGAAGGACACUCUGAAAGCUUGGGAUCCUACAGCUGUUGGGUGAGAAUGAGCAAGUUAAGAGUGCUCUGCUGAGCCUAAAAAGCAGGAAAACGUUCUCUGCGGCAAUGGGAAAAGGAGUCAUCUCUGUUAGUGACUUGAGUGCCAAAGAGCCAUGUCUGUGCUCGGCACACGCCGAGUGGUGAAGCCUCCAGCGUGUACAGCCAUCCAAGCAGCCCCACCGAGAACAGCUCUGUGUACCAUGCCCCAUUCCUGGGCCCACCACCGUCCACCCUCGAGCCACCCGGUGACGAACACCAGCCAUCACCACCGCAUGGGCUGGCACCCCACCAGUCCGCUGUCAUCACCCACCCCUCUUCCUGGGGUCGGUCUGUCUGCUUAGAUGGGGAGCUGGAUGGCUGGCCUGGCCGCCAACUCUGCGUUCCCUGCCGGGCCCAGUGCACCAUGAUUGCUCACCAAAAGCUAACUAAAUGGUCUGAACUUUCUCCAGCUUUCUUUCCCAGCAAUUUCCACUUCCUGGGAGGGAGGAAUGGUGACUUCCGCUCCAUCCUACAAGGAAGGCAAGAUGGUCUGGUGGCUAAGAGGCAUAGCUCUAAAAACAAGCAAACAUGUCUGACCACUAACCGUACCUCCAGCCCUAUCAUUUGCUAGCUGGAUGGGCCUUGGGCAAGACAUCUUGACUUCUCUGAACUUCAGUUUUCUGUUCUGUAAAGUGAAGAUAAUUAUGGUACCUGUCUCAAAGAGCUGCUUUAAGAAUUCAGUGAGGUAGCACACAGUAAGUGUGUGUGUGUGUGUGAGUGCUGAGCAUAGUGGCUGACACACAGUAGGUCCUCAGUAAACAUUAACUUAGGAUCAUGAUGUGGCUACAGACAUUGGUAGCCUAACUUCAAGACAGGGUCCCAAGAGGGGGUCAGUUUGGUCAUUGUCCUGGAGAAGGCCCUAAACUUGAUGUGUUUACGGUCUUGUCGGAAGCACCCACUUUGCUUUCUCUUCAUCCUACCAGACAUUCUCCUUUCCCCGUACCACCCUGGGCCAGGGAACCCAGUCAUUCCUUCAUUCACCCAUUCACACAUUCACUCAUUCACUUCAUUCACUCAUUCAAUAUCCAACAAAUAUUUACAGAUUGAUUAUUCUAAUCCAGGCCCUGUGCUAUGGGCUGGGGGAUAAGUAAACAGGUCAAGGUGCCUACUUUCAUGAUACCCAUGGCCUAAAGUGAAGGGGGCUGGGUGCUUUAUCAGUGCUAGGGUGAGGGGCACACAGGAGGACACCCUGGUCUCAGGAAUGGCUUCCUGGAGAUGGGCUUGUAUAAGCUAACAUCUGGAGGACAAAUAGGAGUUAGCUGGGCAAAGGUAGCCAGGCAAAAGGGAGAAAGAGUGUCUCAGGCAGAGGAAAACAGCCCCGGCAAAGGCCUGGGUGGGAGAAGACAUGCAAGCUUUGUGUGACGAGUGUCCUGAGUCGAAGUGGAGCCAUAAGCAAUGAUGCACCAUGCAGGCUAGAGUUUGUUAUCCUUCCUGGGAGCUCUCCCUGCUGGGAUGGUCCUGCUGAUACUUUUCCUUCUCUCCACACGCAGCCUCCACAAGGAGACCUGUCCUGAGCCCCUGCCUGGUUGUUGGGGAAAGGAAGGAGAGAGGGUGAGACCCAGGAGAGGAAUUUGCACCCUGGGAGGGCCUGAGAUGGAAAGAAACCAGGAAGAGUGAUUCCUCAGCUGGAGAUAAUGUCUACAGUAACCAGUCCACUGAGGCAUGAACUCCAUUUUCUCACUCAAUCUUCAUAACAGCAUUACAAGGAGAUACUCUUAUUAGUUCCGUUUUGCAAAUGAUGAGACUAACACAUUGAGAGUUUCAGUAACAUGCUUCACACCUACAGAAUGUGGCCCUGGUGUCAGUCCCCAGAGCCUGUGCUCUUAACCCCCAGGCCACCCUGGAUAUGGGGCAGCACAGGGGUGGGGGUGGGGACCAGGGACAGGAAGGCAGUGGAGGGAAUGGUUCUUGGGGUAGCUCCCCUUGGCCUCUUGACCAGCCAGUCUCCUUGAGACAGACCAGGGAGCAAGUGCCUGCCAGAGCCUGACAGGACAAAGUUCCCCAUUCAGAGUUCUGAUGAUCUCUCCCAGCUGCUCAGCUCCUUGCAAAGCAUUUUCCCUUAAUAGCCUCCUAUUCAACAGAACGGCUGCAGCCCACAUCUGUGGAAACCAGGCCACAGCAACUCCUCCUACCAGGCCAGCAGGGCUGCCAUGGCCAUGGUCACCAUGUCCUAAGCUUCUCCUUGUCCCUCCAAGUCAGGAAACUUCCAAGCCCCUUCCACUCCACCCGCUGUUUCCAGGACUCUGCCUACAGCAGAGGGACGGAGCUGAGAUGCUUUCCCUCAGAUCAGUCUGUCCUUAACUUUUCUCUGCCCAAUGCAUCUUCAGGGUGAGAUUGGAGAGCAGGAGGAUGGGUAGAACUCCUGGGUUCUCAUCCCUCCUCUGCCUCUAACUUGCUUCGUGACCUUGGAAAAGUCACUUUACCUCUUUGGGACUACCGUUUCAUCAACUGUAGAAUAAGAAGAGGGCCCAGCCUGAAAUCAGAAGCCCAGAAUCCUGGAUCUACCACUAACAAGGUGUGACCUUUGACAUACCUCUCUGAACCUCAGUUUCCUCUUCUAUAUAAACAAGUCGACCCACCUCCGCAGCUACUGAGAGGAUUCAAAGAGAUGACCCAUGUGAAGCACUUAGCAUAGUGCCUGGCUCAAAGUAAACAACAAAUAAAUGUUAGCUGUAAUUAUUGUUAUUACCAUUUUCAUAAUUGGUGUUUUUCAAACUUUUUAGCUGUAGAUUUUUUUUUAUGUUCAAAUGCAAAUUUUUAAGCAGAACCCCGAUACCAUAUAUGAAAAGUGAUGUGUUGGAAGAAUGCUUGUUCACGCCUCCUGCCAGCUCUUCCCAGUGCUGAUGCACAGGGGCCUCUGGUUUUGACCAGUAAGUCCCAGACCCAGCUGAUUAUCAGACCAUCCUGGGAGGAUUUCAAAACUAAUAUCCCAAGCCCUACUCCUGAGAUUCUCAUUCAGGGAGUCUGGGGUAACCCCAGAGAGUAGAGCUUAUGGAAUCAUCCAGGUAGUUCUAAUGAUCUCCCGGGUUGGGGCAUCAUUAAGGACCCUUCUGGAUCUGACAGCAGGACUUUGAGUACAAGGGCCUCCUUCCCUAUGGUCCUCUCUUAAGCUGAGAAAUAGCCCACACAGGCCCAGUGAGUUCCAGUUAUUUCCAUGCCCUCUCAGCUGGCCUCCCAUCAAGGUUCCUUUCUGUGAGUUCUUUCUCUUGGAGUCCUGACCGAAAGGGAACACGGAGAAAAUGCUCCUUGACUUCCCUCCAGGCCCAGCCCACAGUCACCAUGUUCCUGCUCCUCCUUUCCAGGCCUACCUGUCUUGAAGGCUUUCCAUGUGCCGGGCACCAUGCCAAGUGCCUUACAUUUACCAUCUUGCUAAGUCCUCACAAAGCCCUAUGAGGUAUGAAUUAUCAUCAUGCCUGCUUGACAGAUGAGAAAACAGAAGCAGAGAGGUGAGGUGACUUGAUCAAAGCCACACAGCUGUAAAUAGUCAAGAUGCAACUCUACCCUAGGCCUGCCUGACCCCAUAACUCAUGCUCUUACCUGUACUGCUGAUGUCCUCCCCUCUGUGCCCCCAACUCCUAACCUUACUCUAUCAGUCUCUACUCCCUGCCUCCCACAUCCCCAGAAACCUGCCAAAGUUUCUCCCAAGGAGCAUGGCUUCGGGCCACAGCUCCUGUACUGGCAGGCAAGAAAAACCACAGCAGGGUCUGACCUAACUGGCAUCUGAGAAUGCCCUGGGUCCCAAAUAGGAGUAGAGAGGCCAGGCACUUGCUUGGGAGAUGAGAGAUGAACGUGUGAAUCCAGCCAUCCAGCCAGUCUCUCCUGAGUGGAUCUUCCAUCUGCCAUCUGCCAUGUGGCAUUCAUCCAUUCAUCCAUCCAGAUACCACGUCAGCCUGAAUUUACCAGCCCUGGUCAUCUGUCAAUCUUUCUUCUGACAUCAGAGGCCACCCCGUGGUCCUUACUUGCCGCUUUGCUCAUCAGUUGGUCAGUCCAUUUUUACAGACCAAGGGCCUUGGUUUGUGAGAUUCUGGGGUGGAGAUCCCUGAUCUCAGUGAGAACAGAUCUAGCCACUGUUCCCACAGACCUCAUAAUCAGACACCCACAGAGCCAGCAUCCAUCCAGCAGCACCCCCAGGUCAUGUUGUGGAACAAAGUCUCCCUUUCUGCCCCUACCACCACCUCAUCUCCCCUGGGCUCAGCUGCCCCCACUGUUGGGGACCUUUCCCUUUGUGACCUGUCUUGGUAAUUUGGGAGGUGAUUAACAGCAAUCACGCUUGAGUUUGACAUCCAGGCACGGCCGCUAAAUUGAGGCUCACAAAGCCGCCUUGACAUCCAAUAUGUUAUAUGCUUUUCCCCUUAAUUAGGAGCUAAAGUGGAUAAAUAUGAAGUUGCCAUGGCAACAGCCUCCCGGGUUGGUGGAGGGAUGCAGCUCAGUUUCUGUCUGCUGGCUGGCUGACAUGUUGGUUGAUGGACCAAACUGGCUCCUGGGAAGGGUGAGAUGGAGCCCUCUCCCACUUUCCUGGAACCUGCCCUCCAAGCCCCAGUUCUGGUUACUCUCUCCAUCACUGCUCAUCAGACUCCACAGAGUCUGACAAUGCCCCACCUGGUCCAUAGAUCUCAGUUGGUCUAACUCCCUCAUGGAACAGCUAGAAAAACUGAGGAGGUUGGUUCCUCCCCAAGGAGUGAGAGGCAGACAAGAUCUAACACCCACAUCUCCUGACUUCCAGACUAGUCAAUAGUGGUUCUUAACUGUCUGGAGUACCUAGAUCCCUUGAAGAAUCUGUUGAAAGCUAUAGAUUCUGCAACAUAGGCCAGAGAUCAGCCACACAGUGGGGUUCUGACCCGGGACUGCAGCGAAUCUGCUUUUAAAAUUUCAUAAACAGUCGAGCACAUACUGUGUGCAUUUUCUCACAUGCUCUAAAUUAAUCCUUGAAAUCCUAUGAGGUAGGAACCGUAAUUAUCCCCAUUUUACAGAGUUUCAGAGAAGUUUAGCCAUUUUCUCAAUGUCACACAGCUAGCUGGUGGAGGAGUCAGGAUUUGGACCCAGGUCUGUCUGCAGACUGCGAAGUCCAAGCUCUAACCGCUAUACUCUACUGCCACCUGGACGGCCUUUCUCUGACCCACAAGUAAUGACUGUAGCAGCUGUGGGGUUUCAGCCAAGGAGUCCUUCUCUUGCCUAGGGAAGUGAGAACACUCUGAAAAACUCCCUCUCUUCCUCUAGCUCUACAGAAGGACGGGUGGAGGAGAGUCUCUUGGCUCUUGUCUCAUACAAGCCUCCUAUUGAGGAAGAGCCAGCCCCAAACACUGCUAAUAGAGGUCAAGAUGUUUAAAUGUUGAAGGAAGAAGCCAGGGUUCCAUUCAAAGAACCUACAAAAGAAAGCACCUCAGAGCUACCAAAGUCCUAUUUUUGGGAGACCAAACUAGGUCUUCCUCCUUUCCCUUCUCCUUCUUUGCCAACAAGACCUACUGCAGAGCCCUGUGUUUGGGCAGGGAAAGGAGGCAGCGCUUCCUCCCCAGCCCCCAACCCAGAGCAUGUCCCCUUGCUUGGAGAUCCAUCAGGCCCAAGCCUUGCUGGCAGGUGGGAGGUGAGCCAUGCCUGCCUCCCCGAGGAGCUGGGACUCGGGGCUCCUCCAGCGCCCCCGCACCACGUGGCGUGGGUGCUGGCAGCAGGAGCUGGGGCUGGUGGCUUGGCCCUCGAACUUCCUUUCCUUCCAGUUCUGACUAAAAAUAGAGACGGCAAGGACGCAUCUCAUUCUGUCAGACAGUGUAGGGGGGACGCCUGUGCAGAUAUAGGCCCCCUCUUUCUGAGCAUGUAAGACCCAGCCCCCAGUUCUCCCCAUAUACGCCCCUGCCUCACAGCCUUCCUCUGUGGCAGCAGCCAUUGCCCAGGAUCCAGGGUUAGGGCAGGGGAUUUCCCACUUUCCCGAAAGUGGCUUCACGGGUUUCCUCUCCCUCUCCCUUCAAGCCAUGUAGGAUGGGUGGGACAAGCCUGUCAGGACUGGACCUCUUCCUACCUUUCAGUACUGGAAUUAGGUGCAGAAGUCCAGGCAGCUGAGUGGAGCCCUAGGGUGGUAGUAGUGGGCGAGAGAGAGUAUGUGCUCUAAGGAUGUCUUGUAUGUUGCACUUCUCAGGGAAUAUGACUGUCAAGUCCCAGGGUCCCUCCUACCUCUUGGCUUCCUGCAGGUCCUCUCUCCAGGUGAUUGAGAGAAACCCCUGGUCUCCUGUUUGGGUGCUGGGUUCCUGUAGGCAACGCUACCCAUCAGAGAGGCUCAGGUGGGGUGUACAACAGGUGUGAGGGAGGAGUCUAGAAUCAUCCGCUGUUCCCCUCUACCCAGCUCCCCACACCCAGCUGCCCAGUUCAGAGCUAUGCUUAGGGAGAAUGCAGCCUCUCUGCAAAGACCCUCCUUGAUAUCAAAACACACACACACACACACACACACACACACACACACACACACACACCCUUUCCCGGACACAGUGAAUUUAUAAGACUACACCAGGUCUUGAGGGCAAGAAAAGCUGGGGAGGUGGGGCUAAGCUGUGGACAGGCACAAAAAUGGUACCUUUACCAUGGCUCCUUGUCACCCAAGGGAAUGGUUUCUUCCUGGGGCAGAAGCCGAGCUCCAGACUUCUGAUUCACCCCCACCCAAUCCAAUCUAAGCACACAAGACUCUAAACACUUACUGGUUCAAUCACACAGGAGGUGGUGAGAAGUAGGAGGGAAGAAGCAGUUUGUUGUUUAUUGCUAGUGCCUGGAACAGUGCCUGGCACAUAGUAGGUGCUUGGAAAGCUUUGUUAAGUGAGUGAAUGAGAGAAUGAAUAAAUGAAUGAAUGAGAUGCAGGCAUGAACCAAGACAGGAAGGGAAUCAUUAAAGCCAUCAUUAUGGUACUUUUGCAACAGGGUUGGACUGGGAAAUUAGAGCCAAGGGCAGGCUAAUAAUUUGGUGCCUCUUCAAACCAACACUCUUUCAAUAUUUGUUCAAUAUUUAUUUGGAAGAGAAGCUGCGCGGAGACUGUGCAGAGAAGGGGGCCUGCUCACAGCCCUCAGCCUCUCCUCCACCUGCUGAACAGUUCACUGCCGGCCCUAACCUUGCUUGCCCUACUGAGCUUCACCAAAACUCUUUGGUUCUCCAGGACCCGCCCCCUCGGAAGGGAAGGGAGUUUAAUGAACAAUUGUAGCCCGUCGGCCCCUGGGGAUCUCACCUCUGUACCUAGCAGCUUAUAGAAGUGUUCCUGCCAACACCCUCCACCCCCACAGCGGCUUGUGCCUGGUAGAUACUCUUUUCUCCAACUCAUUAGGUGACUAGUGAAGUUUUAGUGCCCCUUAGAGAUGAGUGCCCCGGGCAGCCGCCUGGUGGACCCCUCUCCAUCAGGCCUCUUCUCCAAGUGACUACGGAGGGGAACGGCAUGGAGGAGGAUUUCCUCAGUGCCCUCCUCAGCUCCUGGCCAUUACCCACCACCAUAUUUAGGAGGAAAGGUCAGGAGGGGGAGGAGGAGUGUGUGCAGGGGUCAAAUCCCAUUGCUUCUAGCUUGGAGCAGGUGAGAGGAGAGUGACCAACUGGCUGCCAGAAGGGACUCCCACUUCCUCCCAGUGAGCUCUAGACCAGGCCUGUAGCUCUUGGUCCCCACUCUGCAGGGGAGCAUCCUGAGCCCCAUGAGUACAAGCCAGCCUGAGGUAGAUGGCAUCAGAGCUACUGAAGUAAUACUGUCUGACUUCCAUUCCCUGGGGAUGCCCAGAGAAACCAGAUGUCUGGCCAAUGAGGCGCUCACCGGAGCAAAGUCUUUAAGUAAAUACAUAGUCACUCACUUCUGUUUCCUCCACUCUGCUCGCCUCACCCUCCCCUGCUUUCUGCAUGCAGGCUCCUACUCCCAUCUCAGCCCACCGGCCCCCUGCCCCACAGCCUCCCUGCAGCUAACUUCCCCUCUCCCAGGCCCAUAACCAGCCUCUCCAUCCCCUCCUCAGCCCCCUGCCACCUGAGCAGCCAUAAAAUGAAACAUCUGAGCACCGGUACAGAUGAACAAAUAAUAAAAACAUUAACAGUAUAUUUCUUGAGCACUCGUUGUGUGCAAGGCACUAGGCUAAAUAUUUUUUUUUUUUUUGAGACGGAGUUUGGCUCCUGUUGCCCAGGCUGGAGUGCAAUGGUGCGAUCUCGCCUCACCGCAACCAUCACCUCCCGGGUUCAAGCGAUUCUCCUGCCUCAGCCUCCCAAGUAGCUGGGAUUAUAGGCAUGUGCCACCACACCUGGUUAAUUUUGUAUUUCUAGUAGAGACGGGGUUUCUCCAUGCUGGUCGGGCUGGUCUCGAACUCCCAACCUCAGAUGAUUUGCCUGCCUCGGCCUCCCAAGUUGCUGGGAUUGCAGGUGUGAGCCACCAUGCCCGGCUCUAAAUACUUCAUUAUGUGCAUUAUCUCAUUUACUCCUCAUAUAUCCCCUGUCCCCUGAUAUAUGGGUAACAUAGGCUAUUCAGGGCAAGGCUCUGGGGUCAGACAGAGUCUCAGCCUUCCCACUUACCAGCUGUGUGAGACACAGGAAAAUCACUUAACCUCUCUGAGCCUGGUUUCUCGUCUUCAAAAUAGGGAGGUUAAGAAUACCUACCCUAUAGGGUUGUAUGAAGACAUAAAGAAAUAAAGUGCCUGGGCUGAACGUGGUGGCUCACGCCCUUAAUCUCUGCACUUUGGGAGGUUGAGACAGGCAGACCACUUGAGCCCAGGAGUUCGAGACCAGCCUGGGCAACAUGGCAAAACCCCACAGUGCCUGUAGUCCCAGCUACUGGUGGGGUACGGGGUGUGCUGAGGUGGGAGGAUCACUUGAGUCGGGGAGGUCUAGGCUGCAGUGAGCCUUGAUCUUGCCACUACACUCCAGCCUGGGCAACAGCACCAGACCCUGUCUCAAAAAAAAAAAAAAAAGAAAAGAAAAGAAAAAGAAAGAAAAUUCUUAGCACAGUGCCUGGCACAAAGGCUGGUUCAUGCCGGCUGUUAUCACUAUUAUUAUCCUCUUUUUAGAUGAGAAAACCAGGGAGGUUGUCAUAUGCCAGUGUCACGUGUGGCUAGAUCGUAGCAGUGUCAGGAUUAUAACCAAGGCCUCCCUAGUCCUGUCUGAGGGGCUGCAGGCUGGGGCCAAGUCAGAUAUUCUCUCCCUCCCUGGCUCCCUCCUCCUCUCCGGGGUCACAGGCUUCUCUUUUUCCUUGCCCGUGGAAAGGAAACCUCGUGGCUCCCUAGUGACAGCCAACAUCCCACAAUGCUCUCGGGAAUGUGUGCACACGCCCACCUGCCGGGCCUGGAGGAAUUCAGGCUUUAGAUUUGAAAGGUAAUUCAAUCUCCCGGUGCUUCCUCCCCUCCCCCGCAGCGCUGGGUGUUCAAGACGGCGACAAAGACCCAGUUUCAGAGGAACAAGCCCGCAAGUGCAGAGCCGCAGGCACACGCUCAGCCUCACUCACAGGCAGCCCCUUGGUCGUAAGCACAUGCUCUGCACCUUGCAGCAGUUACUAGAGACAUAGUCCACCCCCGGUCCAGCAGUCACCCAUCCCUAACCUGCCCACCCCUGGCCUCUCAAACCUCCAGACUUUGCCAACUCUCCACACAUUCCUCAGCUCCCCACGUCCAUCGGGCUCUCCGUCCCUCUCCCUUGCCCCAUCCUUAGGAAGCUCCCCUUCCUCUACCCAUCCGUUUCUCUUCCUUCCAGGCCCCAGACCCAGGGCUACUUCUCGGAGUGAGCACUCAGUGACUGCCCUUUCACCGACAGUGGGGGCAGUCCCCCACAACUCCACACUCCCACCUCUCUUUCUUUCUAUCAUUGGCUCAGCUCAGCCCAGGCUCUAAGAUUGGUGCCCAGCACUUGGGGCUGGGGCAGGAGGAAGCCUGGAGCAGCUCAGCGCUCCUGUUUAAUUAAUAAUGGGUAAUAAGUCAACAUGUAAUUAGAGGAUGAGGGCAUGUGGCUGUGCUCUUUGGGCCCUGCCCUAGGGGAGUGAGCUGGAGCCUGGCCACACAUGCCCCUGCACUGCCCAGGUCCUAGCCAGAUCAGCCUCUUGAUUCCCCUUGCUUACGCUGGGUCCUGCCACUAGGUCUCUCACCUGUGGUCCCCCCUUCAUUCAGCCUUCAGGGUCUUCUCCACUUACUCCUGCCUUGGCUUCCUCUCUGCCUUCCACACUGGGCCAAAGGAGCUCAUUCCCCACAGUCCUGGGGAUCCCAAUGUCUCCAGGGAUCACAGUUUCCUGAGGGGCCAGGCCAGUCCCCGACUCCCACACAGGCCUUGAGUACCAGAAGUCCCUGGAAGGAAUCCACAACAAGUCGAGCCCCACACCUCUCCUGCCGACCCCAUUUGGCUCCUGCACUCUGUCCUCCAUUGACAUUCUCCCCAUUCGCUCCCACUCAGCAGGGAGCCAGUGAGAGCCCUCCAGGGACCUCCCAGUCCCAGCCUGCGCCCUGUCCUCUUCCCUGCUCCAGCUCCUAGAAAAGCCUGUUGGGUGAUGGAAGGCAGCUCCCUUCCCAGCACUCCACACCCCACUGUCCAUGGGAGACAGUGUGUUGCCCUCCAGUGGCAAUAGCCGGCAGCAACCUAGGGAGGAAAGGGUGUCCAGGCUCCUUGGAGUGUCUCAGGUUCAGUCCAUCUGGGGGUGGGAGGUGGGGAGGGAGAGCGCCACACCUUUGUCGACUCACCUUUGUCAACGCAUCACUUGCAGGCUGGGUUGCUGACUACCUUUCCCAGCAGCCUAGUUAGCUCUUAUCCUGUUACUCUGGCCCUGUGCUAUCAAGUUCACCUCUGACCUCUUUCCCCAAAGUAUCAAUGAAUGGCAAUUCAACUAAAUGGCAAUAAACACGAUCAACACUUC
This is a long non-coding RNA of Homo sapiens (human), 13351 nucleotides long. RefSeq lists it as uncharacterized. The transcript is spliced from 2 exons. The record is from RefSeq and is a predicted model, not a curated record. NCBI's taxonomy places the organism in Eukaryota, Metazoa, Chordata, Mammalia, Primates, Hominidae.